This 497-nucleotide ribosomal RNA is filed under the name uncultured bacterium. RNAcentral describes it as "partial 16S ribosomal RNA". It matches the Rfam family "Bacterial small subunit ribosomal RNA", at positions 28 to 507 of the family's 1533-position model. The record is from RNAcentral.
GACGAACGCUGGCGGCGUGCCUAAUACAUGCAAGUAGAACGCUGAAGAGAGGAGCUUGCUCUUCUUGGAUGAGUUGCGAACGGGUGAGUAACGCGUAGGUAACCUGCCUUGUAGCGGGGGAUAACUAUUGGAAACGAUAGCUAAUACCGCAUAACAAUGGAUGACACAUGUCAUUUAUUUGAAAGGGGCAAUUGCUCCACUACAAGAUGGACCUGCGUUGUAUUAGCUAGUAGGUGAGGUAAUGGCUCACCUAGGCGACGAUACAUAGCCGACCUGAGAGGGUGAUCGGCCACACUGGGACUGAGGCACGGCCCAGACUCCUACGGGAGGCAGCAGGAGGGAAUCUUCGGCAAUGGGGGCAACCCUGACCGAGCAACGCCGCGUGAGUGAAGAAGGGUUUCGGAUCGUAAAGCUCUGUUGUAAGUCAAGAACGGGUGUGAGAGUGGAAAGUUCACACUGUGACGGUAGCUUACCAGAAAGGGACGGCUAACUACGUG